Molecule: long non-coding RNA, 782 nt
Organism: Anthonomus grandis grandis
Lineage: Eukaryota; Metazoa; Arthropoda; Insecta; Coleoptera; Curculionidae
Exons: 2
Source: RefSeq, a predicted model, not a curated record
GCAUCAUACUUUGACCUUUCAUAAAAGUCAAGGAGCCUAUUUACGUAACCCCGAGGCGUGACUAAUGCAUUAGAACAAUUUGUUAAAGGAACAGGGUUUGGGAAAAAUUCAAUUCUUAUAGUACCCGCCUUGUCGCCUCUCUUGCCCUUAUCCCAUGUUUUAAGCGGGCAAGAAAAAGAGGCCACAGGCUCCCACCUUAGAUAUGUACUAACUGACACACACGAAAGUGAUCCUAGUUUUAACAUUUUAACCUAAAAUCCCAAUUUCCAUGUCACGUGCGACAUGUACGCAUGACAAAUUUUGACCGUCGCUAAUUACGAAGACGUGACGUCACGCUUCGUUCACCAAUUAAAUUACUGUUAGAUUUUCUUAGUUUUCCUAAUAUUUAGCCAGUUUCGCUGUCAACACAGUAAUGACACGUACAUUUUUUUUCAGAUGGCAGCCAUUCGCCUUAAAAGACGAGCUGUCAGUUAUGUUAGCCAACGCGAAUCUAACAAACAAGUCGCGGAUGUGGGUCAGCAGUAACGAAGCCGAGAUUUAAAAAAAACUGAAGAUGAUGAUAGUAAUCUUGUACAAUGAAUGAUCGAAAAUGAUGCGUUAGAAGAGCGUAGUUAUUGAAUAAAAUUCGCCACGGUCGUGUGGACUUUUUAAACAUGCAAGCAAAUAAAUGACAGCGAUAGCUCUCCUUCUUUGCACAUUUCUUCUACACUGUUACAAUGGCCUUGUCAUUUAUUUAUUUAUUUAUUUAUUAUUUAUUAUUAAGUGCGGAAAGAGCCCAAUAG